RNAcentral lists this ribosomal RNA (305 nucleotides) under uncultured bacterium. RNAcentral describes it as "bacterial SSU rRNA". It matches the Rfam family "Bacterial small subunit ribosomal RNA", at positions 335 to 656 of the family's 1533-position model. The record is from RNAcentral.
GACCCUACGGGGCGCAGCAGUGGGGAAUAUUGCGCAAUGGGGGAAACCCUGACGCAGCAACGCCGCGUGAAUGAAGAAGGCCUUCGGGUUGUAAAGCUCUUUAAUCAGGGACGAAGAAUGACGGUACCUGAAGAAUAAGCUCCGGCUAACUACGUGCCAACAGCCGCGGUAAUACGUAGGGAGCAAGCGUUAUCCGGAUUUACUGGGUGUAAAGGGCGUGUAGGCGGGCCUGCAAGUCAGAAGUGAAAUCUGGGGGCUUAACCCCUAAACUGCUUUUGAAACUGUGGGUCUUGAUGGAUGGAGAG